Empidonax traillii (willow flycatcher) is the source of this 294-nucleotide long non-coding RNA. RefSeq lists it as uncharacterized. The transcript is spliced from 7 exons. Lineage: Eukaryota; Metazoa; Chordata; Aves; Passeriformes; Tyrannidae. The record is from RefSeq and is a predicted model, not a curated record.
CAGAUAAAAAAGAAGCUGCUGUGUCCAAAGAACUCAAAAAGCCAAUAAAAGCUCCUGCAGCCAAUCCAGCCAUCAAAAAAGCAGCAGCAUCAGAACCACACAAGAAAGAAAAAACAAUGGAAUCUGCCAAAACAGCAAAGAGAGAAGUAAAAGUACAUGCAUCAGUGGAAAAUCCAAAGUUAAAAGGAUCUGAAAAGAAGGAAGUAAAAGCAACAAAGGCAGCAGAGCAAGAUAAACCAAAGGCGAAACAAGGAAGUAAGCUAUAUUUUAUGCAUUACUUCUCCCUAUAACUGA